This 87-nucleotide unclassified non-coding RNA is filed under the name Pseudomonas marginalis. Lineage: Bacteria; Pseudomonadati; Pseudomonadota; Gammaproteobacteria; Pseudomonadales; Pseudomonadaceae. The record is from RNAcentral.
UGUGGGAGCAGGCUUGCCUGCGAUGCAGGCACCUCAGUCCAUCAGGCACACCCAGUGGAUGCCAUCGCAGGCAAGCCUGCUCCCACA